Molecule: non-coding RNA, 75 nt
Organism: Myotis davidii
Lineage: Eukaryota; Metazoa; Chordata; Mammalia; Chiroptera; Vespertilionidae
Source: Rfam
GGCAGUUCUCAGGUGACUCACCCCGGAAUCAGACUCCCUCAUCUCUGGUUCUGGGUGUCUCACCUGAGAACCACA